RNAcentral lists this long non-coding RNA (585 nucleotides) under Ananas comosus (pineapple). RNAcentral's name for it is "long non-coding RNA (ACOM_LNC014765)". The record is from RNAcentral. Lineage: Eukaryota; Viridiplantae; Streptophyta; Magnoliopsida; Poales; Bromeliaceae.
AAGUGGACAAUUAUGAAGAUAAUAAUCCACUACAACAUAAUUAGGUUAUAGAGACACAUGUUUGUGACACUUUUGAGUAAAUAUCUCAUUUAUGCUAAAACUUAAAAAAAAACAUCUACUAAUGCCUAAAUAUAAAGCCCAAUCCAACGAAAAAUAAAAGAUUACUCUAUUCAACCCACCACACCCAGUCCAUUUGGCCCGAUUACAAACAGAAAAGAAAAAAAAAGAAAAAUCAAUUACCAUCUUUUCUUCUCUCUUCACUUAAUCCACUGAAAUUCUAGACGAAGAGCCUUUCCUGUCGUCCUCCUCCGCCAUCGCAGCCAACGAGAUAGAAUUUCGGCGGUUGCUAAAUGCUUAAAUAAGUGUUGGUAAAUUAGCAGCACUUUUUUAGAUUAUAGCAACACUCUUUAACUGUCACUAUAUAUACCUAGCGACCCCACAUAUAGCAACACUUUUUAAAAGUGUCGGUAAUUUUAGCUAGUAAUAUUUUUUUGACAUGUACCUAUAUUUAAAAGUGUCGUUAUAGACCGUUUUUACUGUAGUGAUCUUAUUCGGUCCAAUAGAAGUAAUUAAUGAAGCUUUGGA